GGAUGCAUUUGAUGUGAAUCACUUCUGUCCUAUUUCUUUAGAAUCAUUCAUUUGACACGUUCUAUGUCUGUUCCUGCAUGGAUGAUCAAUAAAUCUACAGCCUCACAGAUAGAAUGCAAUAAUGAAAAAAAGAGAGAAGAUCAGCAUCUCGUGACCAGAUAAGGCCAUGAAAGGCAAUCCAGUGAAAUUCUGCCCUGUGUAGGAAAAAGGAGCUGCGGCUGUCAGAUGCAGAGUCCCUGAGCGCACACGAGAGCCUGUGCUGAGAACACAAUCUGCUGAGGGAAAAAAGGGCAUUUUCAACACUGACAUUUACCUGGAUUAAUUAUAAAUAUCUCAUUAAAUGAAAAAACAUCUCCUUAGUGGCCUUGCGUUGACAAAUGAAUCAUUUGUCAACAUUUUCCAUGCUUCACACAUCACACUGUGUGAACUGCUGAACUGUGCUGUAUAACAGGUACUGAUAUGAUAUCGUACCACUGUAAUUUUAACCAUACUCAUGUUAUUUUUAAUAUUAAAGUUGGUGUGUCUGUUUUUACCUUAAA
Molecule: long non-coding RNA, 539 nt
Organism: Carassius carassius (crucian carp)
Lineage: Eukaryota; Metazoa; Chordata; Actinopteri; Cypriniformes; Cyprinidae
Exons: 2
Source: RefSeq, a predicted model, not a curated record